CCUACGGGAGGCAGCAGUCGGGAAUAAUUAACAAUCGAGGGGAGCCAUCUGCAGGCAUACUUCGUGAGUAAUGAAGACCGCAGAGUGGUAAAGAUCUUUCACCAGUGAAGAUAAUGACGUUAGCGGACGAAGAAGCGCCGUGUAAAUUUCUGUCCGCACCGUCGCUAAUAUGAGGAGGGGUAGACGCUCCUCUCAGUUACUGGGGGUAUAGAGCGCGUAGGGGGGGUAUUGAAUCUCAGGUGUAAUACCGGGGGUCUCCCCCCGAACUGCACUUGAUAUAUCGUAGUCUCUAAUCCCGAAGAAGUGAGGUGUGAAUUCCGAAUGUCAAGGUGUAAAUUUUAUAAUAUUUGGAAGAACCCCUCAUGGCCAAGGGUUCUGUCUGGCACAUUUACGACGUUUAGGGGCAGAAGCCUUGGGGGCCAACCAGGAUUGAUUUCCUUGUUAUUCCCCCUCUCUUAUUGUCGGGGGAAGAUUGUGGCUUGCCAGCAUGUCGGUGACUCACCUCACGCCGUAAAUCCUCCGCCUGGGGAGCACCGUCCCAAAAUUUAAAACCAAAGCCUCUCGCGG
This 567-nucleotide ribosomal RNA is filed under the name uncultured bacterium. RNAcentral's name for it is "bacterial SSU rRNA". It matches the Rfam family "Bacterial small subunit ribosomal RNA", at positions 338 to 916 of the family's 1533-position model. The record is from RNAcentral.